UUGAAUGGUUGGUGACACUGACAACCCCUGUUUCUUAGGGUUUCCAGAUGUAUUGGUUACACUGUAACCUCCCUGACUUCAGCAGCUGGAGCUACAGUUUCAUCUUGAAGGCAGAAGUAACUGAAAACCUGCAUAUUGGCCUGUUGCAGACUACAAAUGUUACUGAAUUACUUUCACUUUCAAAAUAAUUGUUAUUUCCGUAAGACUUACAAGAAACAGAAAGAGAACAAAGAAAUCACAUGUUUUGGGAAGGCAAUUCAAAUACAGCAUAUAUAGACAGACAUGAAACAGAUGCAUUUCCUAUGAAGAUAACAUGCACACCCAGGCACCUUUACGGCCAGGGAAUCUGAUACAAGGAUAAGCCAUAAAAAUGAAAUGCGCAGAAUGCGACGGCAAAUGUCUGGAAGGAGGGACACACUGUCCGGAAUGUCAGCAGGCUCUGAAGUGCCCAGAUGGGUCGCAGAGUCAGACAGAAGGAACUAAACCUUUAGAACUAGAUACAAAUGAACCAAACCCUCUAAGUGCAGGACGGUCAGAAAACGCCCCUGCUGAACAGGACGCAGGACCUGGACUCCAGCCACCAGCUGAUUCUGCUGAAGCAGCCAAUGAGG
Trachemys scripta elegans is the source of this 611-nucleotide long non-coding RNA. RefSeq lists it as uncharacterized. The transcript has 3 exons. NCBI's taxonomy places the organism in Eukaryota, Metazoa, Chordata, Testudines, Emydidae. The record is from RefSeq and is a predicted model, not a curated record.